This 253-nucleotide ribosomal RNA is filed under the name uncultured bacterium. RNAcentral describes it as "partial 16S ribosomal RNA". It matches the Rfam family "Bacterial small subunit ribosomal RNA", at positions 524 to 776 of the family's 1533-position model. The record is from RNAcentral.
UACGUAGGGGGCAAGCGUUGUCCGGAUUAAUUGGGAGUAAAGAGUGUGUAGGCGGCAAGGUAGGUAGGUUGUGAAAACUGGAGGCUCAACCUUCAGAGGUCGACCGAAACCAUCUGGCUAGAGUCCGGGAGAGGAGAGUGGAAUUCCUGGUGUAGCGGUGAAAUGCGCAGAUAUCAGGAAGAACACCCGUGGCGAAGGCGGCUCUCUGGGACGGUACUGACGCUGAGACGCGAAAGCGUGGGGAGCGAACAGG